GAUGAACGCUCGCGGGAGGCCUAACACAUGCAAGCCGAGCGGUAUUUGUUCUUCGGAACAGAGAGAGCGGCGCACGGGUGCGGAACACGUGUGCAACCUGCCUUUAUCUGGGGGAUAGCCUUUCGAAAGGAAGAUUAAUACCCCAUAAUAUAUUGAGUGGCAUCACUUGAUAUUGAAAACUCCGGUGGAUAGAGAUGGGCACGCGCAAGAUUAGAUAGUUGGUGAGGUAACGGCUCACCAAGUCAAUGAUCUUUAGGGGGCCUGAGAGGGUGAUCCCCCACACUGGUACUGAGACACGGACCAGACUCCUACGGGAGGCAGCAGUGAGGAAUAUUGGACAAGGGGUUAGCGCCUGAUCCAGCCAUCCCGCGUGAAGGACGACGGCCCUAUGGGUGGUAAACUUCUUUUGUAUAGGGAUAAACCUACUCUCGUGAGAGUAGCUGAAGGUACUAUACGAAUAAGCACCGGCUAACUCCGUG
Molecule: ribosomal RNA, 479 nt
Filed under: uncultured bacterium
Lineage: Bacteria
Description: partial 16S ribosomal RNA
Rfam family: Bacterial small subunit ribosomal RNA
Source: RNAcentral